This 406-nucleotide ribosomal RNA is filed under the name uncultured bacterium. Its description in RNAcentral is "partial 16S ribosomal RNA". It matches the Rfam family "Bacterial small subunit ribosomal RNA", at positions 30 to 526 of the family's 1533-position model. The record is from RNAcentral.
AUUGAACGCUGGCGGCAGGCUUAACACAUGCAAGUCGAACGAGCGGCGGACGGGUGAGUAAUGUCUGGGAAACUGCCUGAUGGAGGGGGAUAACUACUGGAAACGGUAGCUAAUACCGCAUACCAUCAGAUGUGCCCAGAUUGGAUUAGCUAGUAGGUGGGGUAAUGGCUCACCUAGUCGCCGAUCCCUAGCUGGUCUGAGAGGAUGACCAGCCACACUGGAACUGAGACACGGUCCAGACUCCUACGGGAGGCAGCAGUGGGGAAUAUUGCACAAUGGGCGCAAGCCUGAUGCAGCCAUGCCGCGUGUGUGAAGAAGGCCGUCGGGUUGUAAAGCACUUUCAGCGAGGAGGCGGUACUUGCAGAAGAAGCACCGGCAAACGACGGGCCAGCAGCCGCGGUAAUUC